This is a long non-coding RNA of Thrips palmi, 1423 nucleotides long. RefSeq lists it as uncharacterized. The record is from RefSeq and is a predicted model, not a curated record. Lineage: Eukaryota; Metazoa; Arthropoda; Insecta; Thysanoptera; Thripidae. The transcript has 2 exons.
GAGGCAGCGCGGCCCAGGUUGAAAAAGACGGCCGCCGCGGUAUUCAUUUAAACAACCAGAAAUUUUAAAGUUUUUUUUUUCGAACUUUUUUUUUCAAAACUUUAAGACUUAUGCUCGCAGUUUGAUCUUUGGACGUGAUGUUCCUUGGCCUCGUCUUGCUGCCCAAGUAAACACAAUAUAAUUGUCUGCAUCCUUUUCCUCGACGGAACCAGGACUUAGAAUGGAAGUCUAGUCGAGGAAGCGCUCGUCCGUCAACUCACCCACGCCGGCUCGGCUGCCUCCGUCGCAGCCGCCUCGGUCGUCUCGGCGCGGCGCCAGUGGCUCAUUACGGAGCUGACACGCUGACCGACAUAAAAUUUCGCCCAAAUUGUAAACACGUCCGAGAUGCCUUUGUCUCCAGUGUGCUGUCAGCAUCUCUGUGGACGCGUAUAAAGGCGGGGGGCUUCGGCAGCGCCGGCAGACCCUCCCGAACCUGCAGCAGCGGAGCGCGCCACCGUGAUGUAAGACCCAGGACUGCCAGGACGGCGGAGACGGCCCGAACGGGCUGCUGCUGACCAACACCGCCUGCUCCUCCCCCACUCCCUCAUGGGGCCAGCGCAAGGGCCAGCGCGGGGUGCGGGGGCUACGCGGCGGCAGCGACACCGCGGCAGCGGCGCGGCUCCAGCCCCCACCACCCUCCUCGAACCGCGAUGACGUCACCACGCUAGCCAAGAAGAACGCCUAGGCCAGCGCGCGUCCUGGAGCCCGUCCUGGAGCACGUCAAGCAGUGGUCCCUGCAGCACGCACUUCAUGAAGGGUUCGCCGUCAACGCUGUGUCCAUUCACGUGGGUCAUUCAAAAUUCGUCCUUUUUCUAAAUUUGCCGUUUCCUUUCCUGUCACUUCCGUGUUUUAAUUUUUCAUUCCACUUUUAUCAAAGUUUUUGGUCAUCCAUUCGUUUUUACAAUUACCAUUUUGUUCAUUCAUUUCGCGAAAUCACCCCAUUCAUUUAUUCGGUCGUUCAUUUUAAUUUAUUGAUUCUUUCAUUCAUCGAUUCAUUCAUUAUUCGCUCACCCUUUCAUUCAUCCGUACAUCCACCGUCCACCCAUUCAUUCAUUCGUUCAUCCACCAUCCGUUCAUUCAUUCAUUCGGUCAUGCACAAUAAUUCAUUCGUCCAUUCGUUCAUUGAUUCACCGAUUCAUUCAUGCGCACUAUUCAAUUUGUUUGUCUCGAUAUGCUCGUAUCAUUUUAAAUUCCUUGUAAUUGCAUUCAAAACAUGUUUUGCUGAAACUAACUUAAAAACUGCCACCUUCAGGAAACGGUUUUGUUUUCAUUUUGAUUUCAUUUCAAAAUUAAGUUUUGGAUUUUGCUCCGGUUGUUACUCAUUUCACCAAAAUCUUAUCAUGCGUGUCGCCCUACGUGUCAAAUAAAAAUCAAGAAAAUUUUG